This is a long non-coding RNA of Dufourea novaeangliae, 415 nucleotides long. RefSeq lists it as uncharacterized. The record is from RefSeq and is a predicted model, not a curated record. The transcript has 3 exons. NCBI's taxonomy places the organism in Eukaryota, Metazoa, Arthropoda, Insecta, Hymenoptera, Halictidae.
CAGUGAUCCUGAACGAAGCGCGACUUCUAUCUCUGUACGCGUUUCUGUUAAUCCGAUCACUUCCGUUGAAGACACGCCGAUCGACCGUCGAUUGGACGUGAUGACAAACAUCUUUGGACACUUGUUGCUGGUGAUCGGUCUGAUCGCGAUGGCGAUCUACGCUGCGCCGCAGAGCGAAAUAGUUCCAACGUUCCAUCCGCGGAAGUAUCAUAUACUCGUGAUCUGCUGCGCCCCUAUUAGACGCUGCCCCCCCGGGCAGAAGAUGGACGCGGCGAACAAGUGUCGCAAGAUUGUACAAGAUUGAAUGCAGCAUGAAACGUUUUCGAAUACAAUGGACCAAGACUGUUGAAGUUUUGUACUCUAUAAUGUACACACUUUUCCACUAAGGUUCACGAAUAAAAAUAAAUUUCAAGUA